RNAcentral lists this ribosomal RNA (496 nucleotides) under uncultured bacterium. RNAcentral's name for it is "partial 16S ribosomal RNA". It matches the Rfam family "Bacterial small subunit ribosomal RNA", at positions 28 to 507 of the family's 1533-position model. The record is from RNAcentral.
GAUGAACGCUGGCGGCGUGCCUAAUACAUGCAAGUCGAGCGAACAGAUAAGGAGCUUGCUCCUUUGACGUUAGCGGCGGACGGGUGAGUAACACGUGGGUAACCUACCUAUAAGACUGGAAUAACUCCGGGAAACCGGGGCUAAUGCCGGAUAACAUUUAGAACCGCAUGGUUCUAAAGUGAAAGAUGGUUUUGCUAUCACUUAUAGAUGGACCCGCGCCGUAUUAGCUAGUUGGUAAGGUAACGGCUUCCAAGGCAACGAUACGUAGCCGACCUGAGAGGGUGAUCGGCCACACUGGAACUGAGACACGGUCCAGACUCCUACGGGAGGCAGCAGUAGGGAAUCUUCCGCAAUGGGCGAAAGCCUGACGGAGCAACGCCGCGUGAGUGAUGAAGGUCUUCGGAUCGUAAAACUCUGUUAUUAGGGAAGAACAAAUGUGUAAGUAACUGUGCACGUCUUGACGGUACCUAAUCAGAAAGCCACGGCUAACUACGUG